CUCCACCUUGAUAAAGCUACUUUUAGGAAGUUUUUAAAAAGUCACUUUCUAUGGAGAUUGUCCUCUUAUAAAAGACAAAGUCGAGUUCAUUCGCAGACGCCACGUCUCAGAGAGAGGUCGGUGGGUGACAUCUGGGUCUCUGGUUCCAAAUUCUGCACCCUGGUGGAGCCUCCCCUACCUGCUUGGUACCUCCCUUUUGAAUCAAACUGGCCCUAGAGGACCCCACACGUUCCUUUUACUUGCAGACUCUCACCAGGACAAGUUUAGAGAGCCGCAAGGGUUCUCCUUAGGUAAAAGAACUGAGAAAUAAUAAAAGUAAACUGUUGUCUUUCUGUCAUUGUAGACAAAAGACAAGGAGCUUCCUGGGGCCGAGAACGCAAGGCCACGACGGCCGGUGCCCAGACUCUCUGCAUGGUGGGUUUGGCAAUCCUUUGUUUUCUGCUGGACCGCAGGAGACCUCUGAGAGCUCCAGGCGUCACUUAAAAAUGAACACACAGCACCCUUGCUUCUUGCUUCGGAUCCAAAACUGCAACCGGACUCUGAAUUUAUUCCGCGAGGCCGGAAGACGCCGGCGUGUUGCGGCGGGGCGUGUUCCAACCGGGGCACCCGCGCGUGACUGUCUCCUCGUCCUAACGGAGCGGUUAGGGCAGCAAGAGCAGAACGUGCCCGGGGGUGGACAACCGAGGAAGAGGUCAGCGACAAUCUUUGAAGGAUUCUGUCCACCUGCGGGCCAAACCCCAGCCGGCCCAGGCCAGGGCUGGUGCCUGGCCGCGGACGCGGGGGCCCGGAGCAGGUGCCGCGAUUGCCGAGAGCCGAGCGCCACCCAGCGGAAGCGAGAGGAACUCCCGCUUGUCCCGCGCCGGGGCCAGACGGAAAGGAGGGGCAGCCCGCAGGACCGCAAAAUCCCGAGACUCUGCGAGGAAGGGAAGAGGACACAUGUGACGACUCCAAAAGACCACUCCCGGCCUUGCCAGUCCACCCCUCUCCACCAACAAGGACACCGUAACCAGGCCCGGGAAAGCCUGCCUUGUCCCUGCCACAGAAACCCUCAUCUCGAGCUCCAACCUCACCCGGCCUCCCCACCCCUAAACGCAGCAGGCUGUGAGCAAAAUCUAAGCCGCGCUCCUCCAGGUACUGCCGUGUCUGCAGCUGGGUCUCGGCCUGCCGGCCUGGCUCCCGAACCGCCCCAAGGUUUCAGUCUCACAACCAAAGGACCGGCCACCUCAUAUUCUGCGAAGUGCGCAGACAGGACGAGAAGGGUCGGUCCCCACCUCAGCGUGCCCUCCUCCUGCUGUUCCCGUCUGCGUUUUCUACUGUAACUUGAAGUUGCUGGGGGGGCUCUGUGGCGCGCAGGCUGGUGCUUUUCCGUCGUUUCCUCAAACACGCGGACACCCCUCGGCCCCAGCACACAGUUCCUGGCAUCCACACUUAGGCCCCGCAGGAGCUGGAGGGUCCUCUACACACAUGAACUUUGUUCCCAAACACGGUGAAAGCCGCGGCCAGCUGCGUGCUGAACCGCGAAGAGGCUCUCCGCGCCGGCGGAGGCGGGAGGGCUGCCGGCGUGAACUGCCCAGGAGGCGCCCUAGGUGGGGUGCUCAACGCGCCUCCCCUGUCGUAACUGGUUUAGUCUAAGCCAUUUCAUGUAAAACCCACGAAGAAGAGGAAGCAUGCUACGGACAUAAAAUUUAAACCGCAAUAAUGAAAAGAUUUCCUAGAAUAAAAUGUCGACUACAGAACCAAA
Microcebus murinus (gray mouse lemur) is the source of this 1741-nucleotide RNA transcript. It is a transcript of the gene named forkhead box F2, with no coding region annotated. NCBI's taxonomy places the organism in Eukaryota, Metazoa, Chordata, Mammalia, Primates, Cheirogaleidae. The record is from RefSeq and is a predicted model, not a curated record.